ACAGCCCAAAACGCUGCUCGCUCCCCGGUCAUCUCUGUUGUUUCUCUUCCAAUCCAAUCUGCCAUCGGCAGCAAAACCCCCAAAAAUGCAAGAAAGAACCCACGAAGGCCAAGCUGAAUCUUCUGCAAACCAAGCUGAAUUUUCAGCUUUGGAGCCAUUGUUAUUAGCACAACACAAGAGAAAGGAAUUCCAGUCCCAACCCGAACUAAUUAAUGGUAUUUUUCCUGAUGAAAUUAUGGCUGAUAUACUCACAAGGCUUCCAGUCAAAUCCCUGAUGAGGUUCAGCUGUGUUUCAAAAUCUUGGCAUUCCUUGAUGUCCGACCCCAAUUUCAUCAAAUCCCAUAUCAAGAAAUGUGCUGAAAACAAGGAAAAUGAGCAUCAUAGGCUCAUUUUGGUUACGGUUACGGAUGAUGAGGAGCAAAAGAGGAAAGGGCUCAGACUCAAGAAGUUUGAGUGUUCCUUUCAAACUGCGUUUUCCUGGGCAUCAUCCAAGAAAAAUGAGGAUCAGGUAACCUACGAUUUUAUUAUCAGUCCCGCUAUUGUCUCCGACGACAUGUGUAGAUAUAAGAUUCUGGGUUCUUGUUAUGGGUUGGUUUUAAUCACGAUUGCUGCAGAAAAUAUGUUUUUGUGGAAUCCAGCUACAAGAAAAUCUAGAAAAUUGCCUCAUUGUGGUUGGAAAGAGGAGCAUAAAGCUAUCAAUUUUCAGGACUUGUCAUUUGCGAUUGGUUAUGAUGAGUCUAAUGGUGAUUACAUGAUACUUGGACUUUCCUGUGUUGUCAAUGAUAGGCUAGAAUAUGAGACUGUGGCCAAGGUUUAUAGUGGGAAGACGGAUUCUUGGAAGAAGAUUGAGCAUUUCAAGUAUAGUUUGAUUGAUGACAUCUGUUCUGGAAGUUACUUUUUGAAUGGGAAGUUCCACUUCAUUGCAUAUGAGAUUUUAAGUCGUGGUACUGAUGGUACAAAUUUUGAGCGAAUAAUUGUUAGUCUUGAUUUGGCAGAUGACAUUUAUGGACAGAUAGAAACGCCUGAAGAUGAGAAUUUCGGUCAUGAGUGGAACUUAGGAACGCUAGGAGGAUGCCUUUCUUUGUUGCAUUGUUCCAUAGGGAAUCAGGAUGAGGUGGAACUGUGGGUCAUGAAGGAGUAUGGAGUAAGAGGAUCUUGGACUAAAAUGGUUGUGAUUUCUGGUUGUCAGGGACCUGGUUGUCGUUUAUUCAGAAAGCCUUUGAUUUUAUCAAAGGAUGGUCAACUUCUGUUCGUGAAUUGGUCAUAUCUGAAGUUAGGAGUUUAUGAUCCAAAUCAGAAUUCACACCAUUAUCCUCAGUUUAGUAACUCAGAAGGUCUUUACGGAGCAGAUGUGUAUGUUGAAAGCUUAAUUUCUCCCUGAUGCCGUUGAUGGAGUUCAAAGGGACUGUAAGGGGGAAAAAAAGGUAGAGUAGACUUUGGACUCAUUUCAACAGUUGAAUUUGGGGUUGGUCAACUAGUCAUCAGUUUUAUUCUCUUGCUGCUCAAGAAAUCCUGUCAAUUUCAAUUUAUCCUGUUCAAAUGAGACAACUUCUGAGAACUUGACACCAGACCAUUAUCUUGUUUCAGACAUGUUCGGGACUAAUUCUUUGGUCAUAGAUUAUGCACAUCAGUAACAUCUGUGGUUGCUAUAUCCCCAGUCAGAGCAAAAGAACCCUCUCCUGCUGCCAUUGAUGUUGAAUGUCCAAUAUAUCCAUGUUUAUUUAGAGCAUGUUUCACUGCAUGGACUACAGAGUCAGAACGGUCAUGAAGUUCAACUGCUAGUUAUAGUAAAGAACAUUUUGCGAACUUCAGGUAGUCAUCUAGUUUGAACUAACUGUUUACCAUUUUUGUAUCUUUUCGGAUUUAUAAGAGAACAUCUUUUGGACAUUUCACAUCUACAAUUGACUUCAUCCUCAGCAAUGUAGACUUUUCUGAUAUGUAAGGCUGGAAGAGAAGUUAAUAUGUCAUGUUAAAAUGAUCAAAAGUUAGAAAAUAUUAGCAGCAUUUCUGUUCAAGCUUGUAUGAAGUAGAGUUGAAUCAAUAUGCUUUAGACUUUUGAGAAAUCCCCUUGAACAAGUGGUGUUGGACAUAUUGUAUAAAUAUCUUUGAUAUAUACAGAUACUCAGCUCCGGCUAUCAUGCACUAACAGGAAUAAAUUACUACACAAUGUAUGCACUUAGAUUCUUGAGAACCAUUUUGAAGAAACAGCCAGGGAAGUUUGAUGAGAUGCAUAUGAUGAAAUGAAGUAUCUUCUUGGAGCUUCAGUCAACGAAGCAGGAAUAUUGAUUUUCUCUCUCUCUGGCUUCUGCGUGCGAAAUGGUAGAAGACUCAACCAAAGGUUCAAAGAACUGGAGGUUGCGCUUUUUCCUCCCUACAAGAUUUUUGAGAAACUUUAAUUUUUUACUCCCUUAUUGGCAUUAUAUCGACCUCAGUACUUGAAAUCAGAAAUCAUGUAUUGGUCUCAUUCCAGUAUACA
Coffea eugenioides is the source of this 2476-nucleotide RNA transcript. It is a transcript of the gene named F-box/kelch-repeat protein At3g23880-like, with no coding region annotated. NCBI's taxonomy places the organism in Eukaryota, Viridiplantae, Streptophyta, Magnoliopsida, Gentianales, Rubiaceae. The transcript is spliced from 3 exons. The record is from RefSeq and is a predicted model, not a curated record.